CACGUAGGCGGAUUAGUAAGUUGGAGGUGAAAUCCCAGGGCUCAACCCUGGAACUGCCUUCAAAACUACUAGUCUUGAGUUCGAGAGAGGUGAGUGGAAUUCCGAGUGUAGAGGUGAAAUUCGUAGAUAUUCGGAGGAACACCAGUGGCGAAGGCGGCUCACUGGCUCGAUACUGACGCUGAGGUGCGAAAGCGUGGGGAGCAAACA
This 207-nucleotide ribosomal RNA is filed under the name uncultured bacterium. RNAcentral describes it as "partial 16S ribosomal RNA". It matches the Rfam family "Bacterial small subunit ribosomal RNA", at positions 568 to 774 of the family's 1533-position model. The record is from RNAcentral.